UGAUUUUGUACCCAGUAUUAGUUGCCCUGUCUCAUCUUCUUCAUCAUGAAUGCUAAAUAAUACUGGGUACAAAAUCACAGUGGUAAAGUAUUAUACGAAGUAGAUAUCUUCAUAACAAAGAAGAGAGGUUGUUGUUAUGGAUAUGAGAAAUCAAACGAAAGCAAGGCCCAUUUCUGCUCUUGCAUGGUCAUUCAAGGACAACAAGCAGAAAACCAGUGCCAUGGUCAUGAACACCAUAGCAGAUCUUACAGACUCCAAGGUGGCUGCGAACCUUUGCUCCUGCAGACCCCACAGAGUACUAACAAACCCACCCAAGCCGUCCACCGCCGUAGCCAGCAGCAUUGCCAUCUUGAAUCUUCUUCCAAUAACAAAGAAAGAGACUCUGUAGUCUG
Molecule: unclassified non-coding RNA, 392 nt
Filed under: Hevea brasiliensis (rubber tree)
Lineage: Eukaryota; Viridiplantae; Streptophyta; Magnoliopsida; Malpighiales; Euphorbiaceae
Source: RNAcentral